CAACAAAUGCAAUACAUACAUACAAUAUAUACACACAGACUGCUGAACACAUUCACCCACCCACUGCUGAAUACAUACACACACCGACUGCUAAAUACAUAGACACACCGACACACACACAGACUGCUAAAUACACACACAUACUGACUGCUGAAUACACACACAGACAGGUGCCUACUUUGCAUUGCUGCCGACCGGUGUCUGCGACCUCCUCCCCCGGUGACCUAUGGCUGUGCGCCCACAGAGAGGACUCGGUGUGCCAUCGGUUCUGCCUUAGCAGUUCUUAAAAUUAGAUAACCUCUGAUAAACAACAACACAUGACAUAUUACUCUGUCAUGAUUUAUUUAACAAAAUUAAAUCCAAAAUCGUGAAGCCAUGUGUGAAAAACUAAGAACACC
Non-coding RNA from Pelobates cultripes (western spadefoot toad), 398 nucleotides. The record is from the annotation of a GenBank genome assembly. Lineage: Eukaryota; Metazoa; Chordata; Amphibia; Anura; Pelobatidae.